UACAGAGGUCUCCAGCGUUGUUCGGAUUCAUUGGGCGUAAAGGGUGCGUAGGCGGUGCGGCAAGUCUGGUGUGAAAUCCCGGGGCUCAACCCCGGAACUGCACUGGAUACUGCUUUACUAGAGUACUGGAGAGGGAACUGGAAUUUACGGUGUAGCAGUGAAAUGCGUAGAUAUCGUAAGGAAGACCAGCGGCGAAGGCGAGUUCCUGGACAGUUACUGACGCUGAGGCACGAAGGCCAGGGGAGCAAACGGG
Molecule: ribosomal RNA, 253 nt
Filed under: uncultured bacterium
Lineage: Bacteria
Description: partial 16S ribosomal RNA
Rfam family: Bacterial small subunit ribosomal RNA
Source: RNAcentral